UGGGGAAUAUUGCACAAUGGGCGCAAGCCUGAUGCAGCCAUGCCGCGUGUGUGAAGAAGGCCUUCGGGUUGUAAAGCACUUUCAGCGGGGAGGAAGGCGAUAAGGUUAAUAACCUCAUCGAUUGACGUUACCCGCAGAAGAAGCACCGGCUAACUCCGUGCCAGCAGCCGCGGUAAUACGGAGGGUGCAAGCGUUAAUCGGAAUUACUGGGCGUAAAGCGCACGCAGGCGGUCUGUCAAGUCGGAUGUGAAAUCCCCGGGCUCAACCUGGGAACUGCAUUCGAAACUGGCAGGCUAGAGUCUCGUAGAGGGGGGUAGAAUUCCAGGUGUAGCGGUGACAUGCGUAGAGAUCUGGAGGAAUACCGGUGGCGAAGGCGGCCCCCUGGACAAAGACUGACGCUCAGGUGCGAAAGCGUGGGGAGCAAACAGG
Molecule: ribosomal RNA, 429 nt
Filed under: Chloroflexota bacterium
Lineage: Bacteria; Bacillati; Chloroflexota
Description: Chloroflexi bacterium partial 16S ribosomal RNA
Rfam family: Bacterial small subunit ribosomal RNA
Source: RNAcentral